Molecule: ribosomal RNA, 254 nt
Filed under: uncultured bacterium
Lineage: Bacteria
Description: partial 16S ribosomal RNA
Rfam family: Bacterial small subunit ribosomal RNA
Source: RNAcentral
UACGAAGGGGGCUAGCGUUGUUCGGAAUUACUGGGCGUAAAGCGCACGUAGGCGGACUUGUCAGUCAGAGGUGAAAUCCCGAAGCUUAACUUCGGAACUGCCUUUGAUACUGCAAGUCUUGAGGAUGAGAGAGGUAAGUGGAACUGCGAGUGUAGAGGUGAAAUUCGUAGAUAUUCGCAAGAACACCAGUGGCGAAGGCGGCUUACUGGCUCAUUUCUGACGCUGAGGUGCGAAAGCGUGGGGAGCAAACAGGG